Non-coding RNA from Callorhinus ursinus (northern fur seal), 2829 nucleotides. NCBI's taxonomy places the organism in Eukaryota, Metazoa, Chordata, Mammalia, Carnivora, Otariidae. The record is from RefSeq and is a predicted model, not a curated record.
GGCGCAGAUUCUGUCUCCUGCAGCAUCAGUGGUCAUCCGGGGCCCUGCUGCUCCGAGGAUGGGAGCUGGACUGGGCCAUCCAAGCUGCCGUUUGGCCCACGUACUUGCUGAGCACCAUGUCCGCCCACCCAGUGAUGGAGGCCUUCUUUGCCAAGUAUGUCUAUCGUGACCAUUAGACAUGUUCAGGGAAUACAAACUCAGGGUACGUUUGGGGAAAAAAAAAAAAGUAAAAGCAAACAAGAAAAAAGAAUUUCAAAGUCCUUUUGCCCAUAGACAGCCUCGGAAACCGACGCACACUGUGUCUGCAUCUGUGUGUGUGGUAGCUCUGUUCACUUCCUGAGUGUGACCGCUGUGGCUGGUGGCUGUAGGACGUACCCUUCCCCUUGGCAGGUGUGCUGUGUUCCUUUAGACACAACAAACAAAACACCACAGGCUGGGCAGCUUCAACAUCAUUCAUUUCUCACAGCUCUGGAGGCUGAUGGUCUGGAAUCAGGGUGCUGGCAUGGCCGGGUUGCAGACUUCUCGCCAUGUCCUCACAAGGUUCCAGAGGCCAGUCCCUGGGCAGUGCAGCCGCGAGCAGAGGUGUUACAGGUGUAACGGCAAAUGCCGAGCACCGGUCUACGUACCGCACGCGUGUCCACCCACUAACUCACAGGUUGAAGCUUCCCCACUUCACGGAGGUCAGAGGCUUGCCCCAAGUCAAACAGCUGAUGGGUGAGCUAGGGUGGUCAGCCUUCCCUCCUGACCCGGACGGGGCUGCCCUGUUGGCAGUGUCCUCCAUCUAUUGACUGCAAGAGUGACCAUGGAGGCUGGCUGGAGGAGCAAGAGCCACCAGAACGCGUGAGGUGUGCAGACACUCUUCCCGGGAUCUCACGCCCCUGCAUCUCAAGUGCUGAGGCAGUUUGAUUUCAGAGUCUUGCUGAGCAGGCCAGUAGGACGCUUCUCUUCCACACAGCUGCAGCUAAGAAAGGACCCCUCACCCUGUACUUCUGCAGUUGAGACUCUGGACUGGAAUAUGAGUGCACUUAGAGGAAUCGACUCCAGCCUAGAUUUUGGUCAGCUUAUGUAGCUACCAAGGCAUGAGAGCCACCCCGUCUAAUGGCCUCCGUGUUCCAGCCCCUGAUCUAGGACCAUGUCAAUCCAAAGAGAGAAUCCAGAGGCUGGAGAUGAUUUUGGUGGAAUCCUCUGGCCCUCUCUGGCUGGCCUGGAGUUGCUGUUACAGGACAGCAUCAUGCCCAGGUUGGAAUCUGGAAGACUUCAUGUAACUUCCCGGGAAGUGGCCGAGAGAGGGUUCCCUUCUGGGGAUGGCACAGUGACCAAACUGCAGUCCCUGGUCCUCUUGCACUGACCCUUUUGGACCUAAGUUCUGGGUGGGGUAGGGACAGCUGGAGGGGCAGUUACAACUGAAAUGGGCAUGGGCACAAUAAUUUCAUAGUGUCCUGGUACCUGGAGAAGGGACACCUCCAAAGGGGCAGGUACAGGCCAUGGGCACAAUCUUCAACCCAAGAACUAGCACUGCAGCCUGAGAACACACUGAACUUUGUGCCUGGCUAAGCAGCCGUGGCUGGUGAUUGGGCUGAGAUCCUGGUCCAUGUGCUAGAAACACAGAAACCCACACAGACCUGACCAUCCCGAACUCUGCUGUUCCCAAUUCCAGAAAGUUCUGGAACCUCCCACUGCAAACACAGGGACCAGUCAGCCCUUUCUUCACCUGAUACAAAUCCAUAACCUGCUAUUGGUUAUCAGCCAUCAAGGCUGUGUCUCAGGGACCUACCUACAGGCUUAGCCAGACCGGUGUGACGGUGACCCAAAUCAAGUGUUGCCAUAAAUCCCGAAGUGACUGACCUGUGUCCCUCUGGGUUACCUUUCUGUAUGUGGGAUGGGGAGGAGGGUUCAUUGACCCCAAUUUUGCUCAUGGUAACUGGCAAGGACACCAAAGAUCGACAGGUCUAGAGUGAGUGGUAGUGGGCAGUAGCCAGUCUGAAUAAGACUUCUGGUCCCCUCCAACUUUUGGUGAGUCCAGGACCCUAGGGCAGGGCCACUAUCCACACCGUGGUUAGCCUCACACUGCUGGUGAGCAGUCUGUCUCCAUCUCCACCAGCCUCUGGGAAAAGGCAACAGGCUCAUCUGUCAGUUUCCAGACCCUCCCAGUUCUGGCAGUUUAUGGCAGGACGAAUUCAGAGAAGUACGGUAAGCAGCAGGAACAGUACACACCCUGGCCUCUGGGUGGCAUCUGCUGGGCUCCCGUGAGCUCUUCCUGCUGAGGCCAGGUCUGCACUGGGUUUGGCUGGAGAUGCCGCCUGGGGUCUCAGUGUGGGAGGGGGGAGGCUCUCUUACACAGUUCAAUUCUUAUGAUCACCCUGUAACAAUGCUGAUAAGCAGAGAGACUCUGGAUUUCAAGGACAGUGACAUCCCAGAGUCACAGAGCAGGUCCCUGGGCCCGGGUGCAAUUCCUGGAGUCCUGCGCUGAUCCGAGCUCCUCUCUGAACAGGCCAACACUGGGCCCUCCGGCUGUAACCCCGGGUUGCUCUGGUGGGGCGGGAGAAAGGGGUUCUAGGCACCUUCCUCUGGGCUUCCACUAGCACGAGCUAACACAUCCUGACUGCUGAAGCCAACCUGAGGGACCAGUGCACAGGGAAGACUUUGGGUAACUUCUAGGCUACCUGUCUGGCAAAGCUCACAGGCCUUUUCCCGUGAUCUUCCUUAUCCAUAGGACUGAGGGUCUUCCCUCUGUGAACUCGAAACUCUACACAUGUGCACCCUGACUCGAGGGACACAGGCUUUGCUGAGUGGGCUAAGGUCACACGUUCUAGCAAAGGAACAUCCACU